UAACAAGGAUUCCCUCAGUAACGGCGAGUGAAGCGGGAAGAGCUCAAAUUUAAAAUCUGGUUUACUUGUAAGCCCGAGUUGUAGUCUGAAGAAACGUUUUCCAUAAGCACUGAGGCAAAAGUCCCUUGGAACAGGGCAUCAUAGAGGGUGAGAAUCCCGUCCAUGGUCUCAAGUUGUUUAUUUUGUGAUACGUUUUCAAAGAGUCAGGUUGUUUGGGAAUGCAGCCUAAAAUGGGUGGUAAAUUUCAUCUAAAGCUAAAUAUUGGCGAGAGACCGAUAGCGAACAAGUACCGUGAGGGAAAGAUGAAAAGAACUUUGAAAAGAGAGUUAACACAGUACGUGAAAUUGUUGAAAGGGAACCCGUUUGAAGCCAGUCUUACUUGCUCGUGAUCAAUUUUUGGCUCGGCAUGAAUGCACUCUCGGGUAUGGUAGGCCAACGACAGUUUAGAAUGCGAGAAAAAAAUAGGGGAAAUGUGGCCUUCGGGUGUUAUAGUCCCUUAUAAAAUAUCGUGUUCUGGACUGAGGAUCGCAGCAAAAAUGUGGGCAGGUGGAUUUCUGUGGUAACUGUCGGUUAGGACAACUUGUUGACCUAGUCUUCCUUAGCCUCACUAUUUACCUUGCUUCUAAUUUGCUUAGGUCGUUGGCAUAAUGGCUUUAAAUGA
RNAcentral lists this ribosomal RNA (661 nucleotides) under Umbelopsis ramanniana. RNAcentral's name for it is "eukaryotic LSU rRNA". It matches the Rfam family "Eukaryotic large subunit ribosomal RNA", at positions 66 to 647 of the family's 3401-position model. The record is from RNAcentral. Lineage: Eukaryota; Fungi; Mucoromycota; Umbelopsidomycetes; Umbelopsidales; Umbelopsidaceae.